GAGAGAAAGUAGCCAGCAGAGGAAGGGUGUGAAGAUUUAGGAGAGGAAAUGAUUGUUCAUUUGUUUUCAAAAAGCUGAAUACUUAUCGUGUGCCUGGCCUUUUUCUAGGAUCUGGGGUUCACACCAUGUGUUAUCUCUUCUGCAAGGACAGUUCAACUCAUCCCCUAGUGAAGAGAAAUCAGAUUUUUCUUUGCAUCCCAUUCAGGUGUAGGAACUGUUCCAUACCUCUGAAGGGACUUUACUUAACCAGAGUAAUAAGUUAGAAAUCAAAAGAAAUUAGAGCUGGAAGGGACCUUAAAGACCACAGUACUUAAUUUUGCCUAAUAUUUUACAUUGAAUGUAAGAAAAAUUUAUUGCAGAGCCCAUUCUCUUCAGAGUUCCUUCACUGAACUUUCUUUAUGUCUUCAAUCCAGUGGGUCCAGCUUGUAGAUUUUGGCCUCCUCCUAAAUUUGCUUCUUCAUCCAUAUUACAUUUUGCCCGGACUAUGGCAGAAGCUCCUGGGUGGUUUCGUGGCCCCUGGACUCAGUUCCUCUAAGUUCAUCUGCCUACUGGGGUUGAGUGAUCUUCUAACAUGAAAAGAUACGCCUAAAAUAAUGCUGCUAAUGGCUUGCCCACACAGAGUUAGUGCAUACUAGCCGCCCAGUCUGUGCUCUGCCCAGAGGCGUGUAGUCUGAACUGUGCUCUACCGAGCCUCCUGGGGCUCUUUGGCCCUGAGGAAGGGGAGCUUUUUGUGAUCACUCCCUUUAUCUAAUUGGUCCUUCAGCAGCGGGGAGCCUUUCUCUAAUCAGCGGAGGCACCCUUACUCAGCCAGUGGUAGCCCCGGGCCUCAUCACCUGUGGGAUACAAGCCAUGCUCUCUCCCAGGCUUGAUUCGACUGACAUCUCUAUUUUCUGUCCCUUCUCACACUUGGACCCCUGGCCUUUAGUCAUCGCCACCUGCAGUAUUUACAGUGACCAGCAGGAGUCAGGCUUGAGUGUCUUUGCACAGGUGCUCCCUCUGCAGUUAAUGCACCUCCUCCUCCAACUCUGCAUAGCCUCAUCUUUCUUGAUUGUACUUCAGGUUUAUCAUGAAGCCGUCGCUUAGACAUAACUUUUUGCCUCCAUAGGAACCUCUGUUCAUAAAGGUUAUGGUUCUUUAUAUCAUGUGAUUGAAAUUUUGAGUUUAUACAUGUCCCUCCUUAAUGAGGCUUUAAGGGCAGGAGUCGUUUCUAAUCCUUAGCACAGAGCAGAUGUGUUUUUUCUUUUUAGCUGCUUUUUAACGGUGAUAAAAUGUAUGGUUUAAAUCACUCAUUUUACAAUAAUUUUGCUUUAGGUUUUGACAGAAAUAAAGUUUCCAGAAGUUGUGUUCCUGCAAUAAGAAAUAAAGAUGUGACCUUCCAGUUGUGUAAAGCUCUUAGAUGCUGUGUAAGUGCGUCAGGUGCGCUAAGGAACCUGGAGCUAGGUGGGCUAGUUGUGAGAGGGAGAGACGUAACUAUGUUAACAAAGGUUCAUCAGAAUUUCCUGUGACUGUGACAGUAGAGAGUCCUUCCUCCUCAGAAAUUGAAGAGGUCGAUGAUUCCUCAGAAAGUGUUUAGGAAGAGCCAGAGAAAAUUUGUUUGAAACAAGAAGCAUUGCCGGUACAAAGGAAAAACUGGAGGAGUGCCUAAAGCAGUUAAAGGAGGAAAGACUAAUAAGACUUAAGGCUGAUAAAUGAGUCAAUGAAGUAAACAAUUUCUUAUACUUUUGGGAGUGUUUUGGUUUUAUUUCGAUUUGAUUUUAAUCCAUAUACACAUAGUUUGUAAACUUUAAAACUGUAAUAUGUUGCAAAUUGGUUGUAUCAUAUGGACUUUUGCAUUUACUGGUAUUUAGUGAUCGUAUGAUCUAUAUUCCAGAAAGCAUGUUUUUAAAAAUGUGAAAAUCUCGUUUUGUGUGUGUGUGUGUGUGUGCGCACGUGCGCACGCGUGCUUUUAUAUGACAUUAGCUUAUUUCCUGUUCAUGAUUCUUUGAUUCAAGAAGGCACUUUUUGUGCAUAUACUAUAUAUACAGUAGCAUAAAAGACAUAAUGAGACUCUCCUGGCAAUGAAUUAGGAAAGUGAAUCAUUUAAAUAAAUUUAAGAUAUUGGAAAACUUCUAAGAAUGUAAUGAAAGAUAAAAUUAUAUACUAUAAGAAUUACAUCAGGUAAUGUGCAUGAAAGCAGGGCAUAAUCUAAAAAGUUCUAUCUAAAUAUACUUUAUCAGAGGUUGAGCGUAGGGAGGAAUUUUUCAAAGUGCAUCCACUGGAUUGGCGGACACUCAUUCAAUAAAUGGUGAGCACCUGCUUAUAUAAGGCAAAAGGGGCAUCAUGAACAUAACAGCCUUUCUGAGAAGUACUGGAGUUGAGCUUAUAGGGGGCUUUAAGUGCAUAGGUGAUGAGCGGAAGGGGAAGAGUGCACGGGAGUGAACAUUUUGAAGGAGCCAAAGAAAACAUUGGUGAUCGUACAUUUAAUAAAUUGGGUUUGGUAUGAUUUAGGACUUUUAAACGUAAGCAUUAGAUAUUUUGCUCGCUAAAGUUAAUUCUUAACAUCCAGCAGAGUUGUAAUAUGUUUUGUUCAGAUCAGAUUCUAUAAUUUACUUUCUAAUUUAAGGGAAACUUAAAGCAGGUAAUUUUCUAAUGUGGAAUGAGGCUCCAUUAUGAAUUGAACCAGUUAGAAAUGUGAUCUUUUGUGAAAGAUCGUUAAUAAAACGAUAACUUUGGUUUAUUUAUAUACCACCUAAGCAUUAUAUAGGAAACUUUGUUGGGUGCCUGGGGGUUUUGGUUAUUAUGUGAUAUGGUCUCUGUCUUUACUGGUGGAGAGUUAGCUUAAUUACAGAUUAAUUACAUUUUGAGUGUUUUAGUUUUGUUCCUUGAAACUAGGCAAGACUACUUUUGAUGACAAUGAGAAAAAAUCAUGUCAGACAUUUUCCGUCUUCUU
This is an RNA transcript of Orcinus orca (killer whale), 2929 nucleotides long. It is a transcript of the gene named centrosomal protein of 78 kDa-like, with no coding region annotated. The transcript is spliced from 3 exons. The record is from RefSeq and is a predicted model, not a curated record. NCBI's taxonomy places the organism in Eukaryota, Metazoa, Chordata, Mammalia, Artiodactyla, Delphinidae.